UACGUAGGGUGCAAGCGUUGUCCGGAAUCACUGGGCGUAAAGGGCGCGUAGGCGGCCUCAGGUGUCGGAUGUGAAAGCCCGGGGCUCAACCCCGGAGGUGCAUCCGAAACUCUGGGGCUGGAGGUCGGAAGAGGAGGGUGGAAUACCCAGUGUAGAGGUGAAAUUCGUAGAUAUUGGGUGGAACACCGGUGGCGAAAGCGGCUCUCUGGUCCGGACCUGACGCUGAGGCGCGAAAGCGUGGGGAGCAAACAGG
This 253-nucleotide ribosomal RNA is filed under the name uncultured bacterium. RNAcentral describes it as "partial 16S ribosomal RNA". It matches the Rfam family "Bacterial small subunit ribosomal RNA", at positions 524 to 776 of the family's 1533-position model. The record is from RNAcentral.